CGGCGUGCUUAACACAUGCAAGUCGAACGGAAAGGCCCUGCUUUUGUGGGGUGCUCGAGUGGCGAACGGGUGAGUAACACGUGAGUAACCUGCCCUUGACUUUGGGAUAACUUCAGGAAACUGGGGCUAAUACCGGAUAGGAGCUCCUGCUGCAUGGUGGGGGUUGGAAAGUUUCGGCGGUUGGGGAUGGACUCGCGGCUUAUCAGCUUGUUGGUGGGGUAGUGGCUUACCAAGGCUUUGACGGGUAGCCGGCCUGAGAGGGUGACCGGCCACAUUGGGACUGAGAUACGGCCCAGACUCCUACGGGAGGCAGCAGUGGGGAAUAUUGCACAAUGGGCGGAAGCCUGAUGCAGCAACGCCGCGUGCGGGAUGACGGCCUUCGGGUUGUAAGCCGCUUUCGCCUGUGACGAAGCGUGAGUGACGGUAAUGGGUAAAGAAGCACCGGCUAACUACGUGCCAGCAGCCGCGGUGAUACGUAGGGUGCGAGCGUUGUCCGGAUUUAUUGGGCGUAAAGGGCUCGUAGGUGGUUGAUCGCGUCGGAAGUGUAAUCUUGGGGCUUAACCCUGAGCGUGCUUUCGAUACGGGUUGACUUGAGGAAGGUAGGGGAGAAUGGAAUUCCUGGUGGAGCGGUGGAAUGCGCAGAUAUCAGGAGGAACACCAGUGGCGAAGGCGGUUCUCUGGGCCUUUCCUGACGCUGAGGAGCGAAAGCGUGGGGAGCGAACAGGCUUAGAUACCCUGGUAGUCCACGCUGUAAACGGUGGGUACUAGGUGUGGGGUCCAUUCCACGGGUUCCGUGCCGUAGCUAACGCUUUAAGUACCCCGCCUGGGGAGUACGGCCGCAAGGCUAAAACUCAAAGGAAUUGACGGGGCCCCGCACAAGCGGCGGAGCAUGCGGAUUAAUUCGAUGCAACGCGUAGAACCUUACCUGGGUUUGACAUGGAUCGGGAGUGCUCAGAGAUGGGUGUGCCUCUUUUGGGGUCGGUUCACAGGUGGUGCAUGGCUGUCGUCAGCUCGUGUCGUGAGAUGUUGGGUUAAGUCCCGCAACGAGCGCAACCCUUGUUCACUGUUGCCAGCACGUUAUGGUGGGGACUCAGUGGAGACCGCCGGGGUCAACUCGGAGGAAGGUGGGGAUGACGUCAAGUCAUCAUGCCCCUUAUGUCCAGGGCUUCACGCAUGCUACAAUGGCUGGUACAGAGAGUGGCGAGCCUGUGAGGGUGAGCGAAUCUCGGAAAGCCGGUCUCAGUUCGGAUUGGGGUCUGCAACUCGACCUCAUGAAGUCGGAGUCGCUAGUAAUCGCAGAUCAGCAACGCUGCGGUGAAUACGUUCCCGGGGCUUGUACACACCGCCCGUCAAGUCAUGAAAGUUGGUAACACCCGAAGCCGGUGGCCUAACCAAGGUGGGGGAGCCGUCGAAGGUGGGACUGGUGAUUAGCC
Molecule: ribosomal RNA, 1433 nt
Filed under: uncultured organism
Description: partial small subunit ribosomal RNA
Rfam family: Bacterial small subunit ribosomal RNA
Source: RNAcentral